GCAGUGGUAGCUCAGCGGCAGAGCGACGGACAGUGUUCCGGAGGUCGCCGGUUCGAAUCCGGUCCACAACC
Molecule: transfer RNA, 71 nt
Rfam family: tRNA
About the family: Transfer RNA (tRNA) molecules are approximately 80 nucleotides in length. Their secondary structure includes four short double-helical elements and three loops (D, anti-codon, and T loops). Further hydrogen bonds mediate the characteristic L-shaped molecular structure. tRNAs have two regions of fundamental functional importance: the anti-codon, which is responsible for specific mRNA codon recognition, and the 3' end, to which the tRNAs corresponding amino acid is attached (by aminoacyl-tRNA synthetases). tRNAs cope with the degeneracy of the genetic code in two manners: having more than one tRNA (with a specific anti-codon) for a particular amino acid; and 'wobble' base-pairing, i.e. permitting non-standard base-pairing at the 3rd anti-codon position.